GCCAGACUCCUACGGGAGGCAGCAGUGGGGAAUAUUGCACAAUGGGGGGAACCCUGAUGCAGCGACGCCGCGUGGGUGAAGGAGUACUUCGGUACGUAAAGCCCUAUCAGCAGGAAAGAAAAUGACGGUACCUGACUAAGAAGCCCCGGCUAACUACGUGCCAGCAGCCGCGGUAAUACGUAGGGGGCAAGCGUUAUCCGGAUUUACUGGGUGUAAAGGGAGCGUAGACGGCAGUGCAAGUCCGGAGUGAAAGCCCGGGGCCCAACCCCGGGACUGCCCUUGGAACUGUGCGGCUAGAGUGCGGGAGGGGCAGGCGGAAUUCCUGGUGUAGCGGUGAAAUGCGUAGAUAUCAGGAGGAACACCGGCGGCGAAGGCGGCCUGCUGGACUGCGACUGACGUUGAGGCUCGAAAGCGUGGGGAGCGAACAGGAUUAGAUACCCCAGUACG
This 447-nucleotide ribosomal RNA is filed under the name uncultured bacterium. RNAcentral describes it as "partial 16S ribosomal RNA". It matches the Rfam family "Bacterial small subunit ribosomal RNA", at positions 330 to 793 of the family's 1533-position model. The record is from RNAcentral.